GACGGGUGAGUAACACGUGAGCAACCUGCCUAUCAGAGGGGGAUAACGAUUGGAAACGAUCGCUAAUACCGCAUGACAUAGCGGAAUCGCAUGGUUCUGUUAUCAAAGAUUUUAUCGCUGAUAGAUGGGCUCGCGUCCGAUUAGAUAGUUGGUGGGGUAACGGCCUACCAAGUCGACGAUCGGUAGCCGGACUGAGAGGUCGAACGGCCACAUUGGGACUGAGACACGGCCCAGACUCCUACGGGAGGCAGCAGUGGGGGAUAUUGCACAAUGGGGGAAACCCUGAUGCAGCGACGCCGCGUGAGGGAAGACGGUCCUCUGGAUUGUAAACCCCUGUCUUCGGGGACGAAACGAGACGGUACCCGAGGAGGAAGCCACGGCUAACUACGUGCCAGCAGCCGCGGUAAUACGUAGGUGGCAAGCGUUGUCCGGAAUUACUGGGUGUAAAGGGAGCGUAGGCGGGCAGGCAAGUCAGGCGUGAAAUAUAUCGGCUCAACCGGUAACGGCGCUUGAAACUGCAGGUCUUGAGUGAAG
Molecule: ribosomal RNA, 534 nt
Filed under: uncultured bacterium
Lineage: Bacteria
Description: bacterial SSU rRNA
Rfam family: Bacterial small subunit ribosomal RNA
Source: RNAcentral